CGCGUUCAACUCGCCUUCAACUCCUCUCCGCGGUCACCAACUUUCGGCCAGUCCGCAGACAGACGAGAAGAAGCUGCUGAUGCUCUCAGUGGAUCGUCUCGUCAACUCCAACAACAAACUGCCGAUAUCAACGAGCGGUUCGCUCCACUGGAGCAGUCGGGACUCUGCGGGUUUCUGUUCAUGGAGGAGAGGAACCGACUCAAAGAAGAGGAGACGGGCGCACAAUCCCAAGAUAGCGGAAGCGCUGCGCCGUCUUCACAACUCCGAGACGAACUACAAGCGCUACGAACCGGAGAAAGGACUAAUCGCGCCUCAUAAUGAGGCGGUGACCUCGUAUUUGCUCCGGGAAAAGUCCAGAUUUAGACGACGUCAUUGUGUGUAAGUAACGCCGUUUACUGUUUCUCCUUCCUUGUUAAAUGUUACUGUGACUUGCGUUUGAUUUUUUUUGUAUUCAUAUCACACUCAUUUAAUUGUUUUCCAGCUCCCUGUGAGACGUAUUUUGAGACGGAACGCAGGAGCUUCAGGUUUUCCAGCCGGAACACUCAUUGCAGAGUUCAGCGCGGAGUCGAGCGAGAAGAAAGCAGGUCAGAGUUUAUUUGCUGACUUUUUCAG
Molecule: long non-coding RNA, 612 nt
Organism: Gasterosteus aculeatus aculeatus (three-spined stickleback)
Lineage: Eukaryota; Metazoa; Chordata; Actinopteri; Perciformes; Gasterosteidae
Source: Ensembl